AACAAAACUGAGCAUGCCUCCCUGACCUAUACUAGGCCUCUGCUGUGGAGGUGAUGGACAGUCGAGGUGUCUGAGUGAUU
Cebus imitator (Panamanian white-faced capuchin) is the source of this 80-nucleotide small nucleolar RNA. RefSeq annotates it as small nucleolar RNA SNORD86. NCBI's taxonomy places the organism in Eukaryota, Metazoa, Chordata, Mammalia, Primates, Cebidae. The transcript has a single exon. The record is from RefSeq and is a predicted model, not a curated record.